UUUUUUUUUUUUCAAAUUGAGGGAGGAAAGUCACAUUUUCCCUCCAAUGAGAGUGGGAGGCACAAUAGAAAAUCUCUCUAGAGCCGAUCAAUAGUUAUGGGAUUUACCUACUCUUCCCACAAAGAGGCACAUCGUCGUGGUCCUGUGAGGUCUCCCAAACCUUCACGCCCUUCCCCGUGAUAAAAGUUUAGCCACAUUGCAAGAAGUGACCACAGAGGAGAUGAUGAAACAUCUCAUUGGCUAAGCUGAAGUGGCAUUGGCAAGUAGUUUUUUUGAGGGCUGUUCCAAAACAAAUAAUGAACCGUGUAUUAAAAUAAACAAAGUCAUAAAAAUGUCAGGAGGCAUGCCAGAAUAAUAAUGACUUCCCAGUGUGAGAGGAAAUUCAAAGAAGGAUAAUGAAACUCCUUCCCAAAUGAAAGCAGCUGGCUCUGACCGUCCUCAUGGAUUUUCCAUUUCCCUCCUGCUUAAGCAGCUUUUUUGGUGCUGGCACUUUAGAAGACCUCAUUGAUGGCACAUGAGGGGAAAGAAAUUAAUGUUUUAAAAAAAAUGUUUAAAAAUUUAAAAAAAAAUCACUGUCAGCUACCGUUUGGCUCUCUUAUAGUAGUUGGUGUGGGUAUGGAAUGAUUAAUAUGACAGCCACCUUCUGCUAUGAUUUCUUGGACCUAGAACACCCUGACCCACCCAUUGAGAGAAGCCACUGACAGGACUUCCACCAUUUGAGACCAUUUAGUCAAGCACUGAUGAUUUCUGAAAACUAGGUAGCUUUGUUGCUUAUCAAAAGCACUUAUGGACCUAUUCAGCAAUAUAAAGCACUGAAGCAGUAGUGCCAACGAUUCUGGAAUUUUCCCAAACCCUCGGUGAUUCUAAAGAAAGGAAACUUGUAGAUUCUAUCCAUAACAUCAAAUUAAAAGCCACUGAAUACCAUGGCUCUCUCUACGUUAUUUGAUCUACCAGCAAAGGCUCUGCAAAUUCUGGCUCUACCCUAACUUUUUGGCCAUAUUUCUUUAGCUUUUAUUAUUUUCCUGCCAUGGUCUGAAUGUGUGUGUUCCCUAAAAAUUCAUAUGCCAAAAUCCUAACCCCCAAUGUGAUGGUAUUUGGAGAUGGGCCCUUUAGAGGUGAUUAAGUCAUGAAGGUGGGGUGCUCUUAAGUAGGAUUAGUGCCCUCAUUAAAGUCAUCCCACAGGACUCCCUAGCUCCUUCUAGAUGAGGAGACAGCAGGAAGGCCCCAGCUGUGAAUCAGGACGAGGGCUUUCACCAGACACCGAAUCUUCCAGCUUUUCUUAUCUUGGACUUUCCAGGUUCCAGUACUGUGAGAAAUAAAUUUCUGUUGUUUAUAAGCCCCUUGGUUUAUGCUAUUUUUGUUAUGCCAACCCAACUGGGCCAAGCCAUUCCUUUAUACCUUUCUCUUCAGGCAAACCAUAGCACCCAUUUCACCUCAUCCCCAUUGGCCUAUGCUUUCCUGCAUCUAGGCUAUUUCUUACACUACCCCCAUCUCGACUAUAUUGUGUCCUUCUAAUGUAUCCAUUAAAAAUAUAUAUAGAUGCACUGACCUAGAAAUUCCACAUUGAGACAUUCAUCAUUAAGCUAAUGAAUUCAUUUCAAGGAUUUCUUUCAGCAUGUUCAUAAUAGAAAAAAAAAAAAAAACCCUUCCAAAUUCCCAAAAUUAUAGGAUAGGUUAUAUAAAUCAUAAUACAUUUAUAUAUGACAUAGUAUACAGAUAAUAAAAAAUGAUGCUAUAUAUUAAUACUGAUACCCAUAAAUACCAUCCAUGGUAUGUUGUUUGGUGGAAAACCUAUCAUAUUCAAAAUGUUUGUUUUUAUAAAAAAUAAGCAUCUGAUUAUGUAUAUAUAUUCACUUAUCACUGCAUCUAUGUUUAAAAAUCCAUAUUCACAAUUAUAUCAAGGAAGAGUCUGAAUAUACACCUACGUAUACUUGUGGUUUAUGGAUCACGGAAUUAUUUUACAUGUAUCUGUGUGUGUACGUUUACGUUUAUAUGUACUUUAUAAUCUUAUCAAAACUAAACACUGGUUGUCUUGGUAUUGACAACUAAAAAAAAUGUUCAACCUAAAAGUUGAGAAUUACGUUGUAUUUGACAGACCUUCUGAGGACUUCAAGCCUGGGAAGCAGCCUCUCAGACAGCUCCGCCUGCUCCAAAAGAGGUAAAGGAGAAGCCAGAAUAUAUAGGAAUUUUACAACAAAAAAACAGGUAAUCAGAACAUCAAAAAAUGUACUGUAAAUUAAAGAAAACCAGACAUUGCAAGUUAAUGAAUGUAGCACUUGUCUUUGUAUGGGAAGAUGCAAGAGUCUGGGCUCAUUAAAUCAUUCCUUAGCUAUGUACCUUAGCUGUUUAGGGCCAGUAUCUUCUUCUUUCCCAUCCUGAUUCCCCUCAGAGUGCACCGCUAGGGGUGGCUGCAGUGGCUGAGGGCUUGAUGGCUGCAGCAUCCUUUGCUGACAUGGUAGGCAACGUUUUUAAUCCACAGUAUCAAAAAUAAUUUCGUUGUGUGCCAUCUUCCAACUUCAGCUCAAAUGCUCUACUCUACACAGUUUUUCUUGAAAUCUCAUCAGCAAGUCUUUUUUUCUCAGUCGUAUCUAUAUCAAUUUUAUGUUGUUUAAACUCCAGCCUGGGUUAAAAACAGCUGUAUAUUAUUAGAAUAUAAACUACAUGAGCGUAGGAGUCCUUUUCCUUCAUCCUUGAAGGCAAGCUUGUAGCAAGUGUUCAACAAAUAUUUUUAUACUAAUCAAUAUGAUUUGCCUAAUCAGUAAUUAAAAAUUGGAUAGCACACCAGAAUCACUUGGAAUGUACCUCUUAAAAGUACAGAGUCCUUGGUCCACCCAUUCUGUGGUCAAUGCAGCCAGCCUGGCUUUUAGGUCAGUAGUGGAGGGCUGCAGUCCAAAGUCUACUCCAACAAUGCCCUUGGUUUAAUCCAAGCAUUUCUCCUUCCGCCAGGCAUGCUCCUUCUGUCCCAACAUAUUUGGGUUGUUAAUGUCCUGAAUUAAUUCCUGCUCUUGAAAAAAAGUAUAGAAACAAUCCUAACUGAUCAGACUUCAUAAAUGAAGUGCCAGGAAGAUUGAAAAUGUUUAAUAAAUGUUUGCUGGAGAAUGGCUAUGUUCUCCUGUCAUGUUCCUAACCUUCAGAGCUGGUAGAACCCAAACUCCUGACUCUUGCAGGAAGUACUCUAAUUGCCUUGACUUACUCCUUUUCUGUCUCCCUGAUACUCAUCUCAUUGUCUUCUUGAGAACUGAUUCAUCUCUUACCCUAAUCAUAGUACUUUUUGGUAUUUUGUUUUGUUUUGAUUUUUUCUUUUUAUGGUGGUACCUGUGGCAAAUGGAAGUCCCUGGGCUAGGGGUCCAAUCAGAGCUGCAGCUGCCGACCUGCACCACAGCCACAGCAAUGCCAGAUCUAAGCUGCAUCUGUGACCUACAUCACAGCUUUCGAUAACCCUGGAUCCUUAACCCACCAAGUGAGGCCAGGGAUCGAACUUGCAUCUUCACGGACACUAUGUCGGGUUUUUAACCCACUGAAUCACAACAGGAACUCCAUUAAUAUAUUUUGCAAGGAAAGUUAUUUCAGCCAGCCUGGCACAGGAAAAGCAGACUAAUGUGAACAGCAGGUAAGCCUCUGAUCAGUAGCAGAGGUUAUUGGGUGGGAAAUGGGAUCAGCGGUUAUGAAUAGUUGGUAAUGGGCUUACCCUGUGAUCUCAGAGGUGAGUCAGGGCAGACAGGAGCAAAUGAUGAACAUUAUUGUCUAGCAGUAGGGGGAUGGGAGGGAAGCAAAUCCAAACAAGGAUAUUCCUAAAGCAUAAAUUCAGGGAGAAAGCUACCCAGUAGGCAGGUUGGAAUUCUAUUAAGAGAUUAAAGAAGAGAGAUAAUUCAAGGAAUUCUGCCAGAUACCUCCUGUACCUGAUACAAAGCACCUAUGUGUUUGUCACUGAUGCCUGUUGUCACUGCUCUUUAUCAGCUUUGUUAUUUACUUACUGUUUCUCCUAACCUCUUGGGUGCCAGGUGCUAAAUCCCAGCCAUACAUCAGUGCUCUAUCAUUACAAGUCAAGGUCUAUUUCUGGGAGUGACUGUGUGUCUGACCAAAGAGAUGAGUUAUCGAGGAAGAAGGCCUCCCUCGUCUAGGACACCAUUUUCUGGAAAAAAAUGAACAUCUGUAAGGACAGCCAGCUAGGCUGUUACAAGGCCUCCUCCUUCCAUCACCCCACAGGGAGUAAAUCUGGGCAGGGAAGGACCCAGCCAGAUGUGGAUGUCUGCAUGCUGCUGGGGCAACAUCCGUAAGUAUUUUGUAAACGUUUCUUCAGUCCCCCUUAGUGCAUUAAGGAAGUGCACUGGCUUGUAGUUGGCAAGGGGGAGGUGGGAAGGAAGGGGGAUGGGCUGGGAGUUUUGGGUUAAUAGAUGCAAACUAUUACAUUUAGAAUGCAUAAGCAAUGAGGUCCUUCAGUAUAGCGCAGGGAACUAUAUCCAAUCACUUCUGAUAGACCAAAGUGAAAUAUGAGAAAAAGAAUAUAUAUAUAUAUGUAUGACUGGGUCACUUUGCUAUAUAGCAGAAAUUGAUAGAACAUUGUAAAUCAACUGUACUUUAAUAAAAAAAAUUAUUAAAAGAAAAAAAA
This 4609-nucleotide long non-coding RNA is filed under the name Sus scrofa (pig). RNAcentral's name for it is "lncRNA (ENSSSCG00025014039.1)". The record is from RNAcentral. Lineage: Eukaryota; Metazoa; Chordata; Mammalia; Artiodactyla; Suidae.